CUCGUGCCGCCUGUUAAUUUUUUGGUGAUGUGUACUGGUGUGCUUGACAUCUGGGGCAGUAGCUUCUUUCGGUGAUCUGGGGCCAAUUUAUAAGUUGCAAUUACCUGAUAAAGCGGCUUUACCCUCUUAUGGCUUUCUUCAUGAUUUGCACAACUAUGUAGCUGACAGUGAACUCACUGAAGAAAUCAAACAAGAAGGUGAACAAACAGAGAAUUGUGGAAAAGAGAAGGAGAAUGAUCAACAAAAGGCAAAUGUACAGAACGAAGAUCAUCCCCUCCUUGAUCUUGUUCCAAUAACACCUCCUUUUGAUCUUUCCAGUUCUCUGCUUAAACUGCCAAAUUUCUCAAGUGCAAAGCCACCAAGACCUUCCAAAGCUCGCAGUGGGAACUCCCGUUCAUCUACUUCAAAAGCUACUGCAACAUUGCAGUCUUGUAAAUCAUCCAAGGUUGGUGGUAGUGCUAUCGAUGAGGGGAUGCCAGAUAUUCUAAAAGAAGCUGAUUCUCCUAACAACCGUGUCAAGACUACUUCACCCAACGGAAAACGAGUCUCGCCGCCACAUAAUGCGCUCAGUAUUUCCCCGAACCGGAAAGGUGGUAGGAAAUUAAUAUUGAAGUCAAUUCCCUCAUUUCCAUACUUAUGGGAGAGUCAAACAGUGGUUCUGCAAUGAACGAUACCGAUAACACAUUCAGCGCAUCGCCUCUCAUUUUAGGACCAUCUUAAAGCUGUGAAGUCGACUAUGGGACCGACUUGUAGUCCAAAUAUGUGCCCCACAUCCUACGCCUGCAGCAAGGCUCGAGGUACUGUCAGAGAAUAGUAAGUUAGAUUUAAGAUGCAGUGAUCUAUAUUUGUAAAAUAUGUAGCCUCUCAAUAAUCUAUAUGUAAUAUGCUGUGUCUUGUAGCUGUUAUUUUUAUUGAAUUGUAGUAACACUAUAAAUCACCUCUUGAGGAGGUUCCACAAUUCCAUUCCAUGUUUCUCGUCG
This is a long non-coding RNA of Panicum hallii, 980 nucleotides long. RefSeq lists it as uncharacterized. Lineage: Eukaryota; Viridiplantae; Streptophyta; Magnoliopsida; Poales; Poaceae. The transcript has 4 exons. The record is from RefSeq and is a predicted model, not a curated record.